RNAcentral lists this ribosomal RNA (516 nucleotides) under Triticum aestivum (bread wheat). Its description in RNAcentral is "partial small subunit ribosomal RNA". The record is from RNAcentral. Lineage: Eukaryota; Viridiplantae; Streptophyta; Magnoliopsida; Poales; Poaceae.
AUGGAGUCCUCCGCCAUCAACGGGGCCCUAUGGGUGCUGGGCAAGGCGCUGAGCCCGCUGUCCGGCGGCCUAGUCGAGGCGUGGGCAGCCAGCUUCGGGCUUGGCCUCAACAUCGAGGCACUCAAGACGGAGCUCCUCUACGCGCAGGCCAUGCUCGACAACGCCCGCGGCCGGGAGAUCCACAGCCACGCGUUGUCUGAGCUGCUGCAGAGACUGCGCGCCCUGGCGUACGGUGCAGACGACGUGCUUGACGAGCUCGACUACUUCCACAUUCAGGACAAGCUUCACGACACCUUCGAGACCGUCCAUGAAGACGACCGCGGGUGCGUCCAUAACCUUCUCCGCGAUACACGAUACACAACCAAAGAUGGAACCAAGCUGCUUGGGUGUGCAUCGUGCUGCUCUGCUGCAAGCGGCACUUACAAAGCAGAUGAGUCAUGCAACUGCGUCAGCCGGCUCGCCUCCCGUACUCGCUCUACCAUCCAUGCAUUCGGGUGGAUGUCUCUACAAGAAUGA